This 99-nucleotide microRNA precursor is filed under the name Nomascus leucogenys (northern white-cheeked gibbon). RNAcentral describes it as "miRNA (ENSNLEG00000035457.1)". The record is from RNAcentral. Lineage: Eukaryota; Metazoa; Chordata; Mammalia; Primates; Hylobatidae.
GAGGUGAGAGGAUUGCUUGAGCCCAGGAGUUUGAGGCUACAGUGAGCUAUGACCACACCACUGCACUCCAGCCUGAGUGACAGAGCAAGACCCUGUCUC